GAUGAACGCUGGCGGCGUGCCUAAUACAUGCAAGUCGAGCGAACGGACGAGAAGCUUGCUUCUCUGAUGUUAGCGGCGGACGGGUGAGUAACACGUGGAUAACCUACCUAUAAGACUGGGAUAACUUCGGGAAACCGGAGCUAAUACCGGAUGAUAUUUUUAACCGCAUGGUUCAAAAGUGAAAGAUGGUCUUGCUGUCACUUAUAGAUGGAUCCGCGCUGCAUUAGCUAGUUGGUAAGGUAACGGCUUACCAAGGCAACGAUGCAUAGCCGACCUGAGAGGGUGAUCGGCCACACUGGAACUGAGACACGGUCCAGACUCCUACGGGAGGCAGCAGUAGGGAAUCUUCCGCAAUGGGCGAAAGCCUGACGGAGCAACGCCGCGUGAGUGAUGAAGGUCUUCGGAUCGUAAAACUCUGUUAUUAGGGAAGAACAUAUGUGUAAGUAACUGUGCACAUCUUGACGGUACCUAAUCAGAAAGCCACGGCUAACUACGUG
RNAcentral lists this ribosomal RNA (497 nucleotides) under uncultured bacterium. RNAcentral describes it as "partial 16S ribosomal RNA". It matches the Rfam family "Bacterial small subunit ribosomal RNA", at positions 28 to 507 of the family's 1533-position model. The record is from RNAcentral.